AGAGUUUGAUCCUGGCUCAGGAUGAACGCUAGCGGCAGGCCUAAUACAUGCAAGUCGUACGGGAUUGAAGACUUCGGUUUUCAUGAGAGUGGCGCACGGGUGCGUAACACGUAUGCAACCUACCUUUAACUGGGGGAUAGCCUUUCGAAAGAGAGAUUAAUACCGCAUAAAACAGCAGCACUGCAUGGUGUCACUGUUAAAGCUUCGGUGGUUAAAGAUGGGCAUGCGUUGCAUUAGCUAGUUGGUAAGGUAACGGCUUACCAAGGCUACGAUGCAUAGGGGAUCUGAGAGGAUGAUCCCCCACACUGGUACUGAGACACGGACCAGACUCCUACGGGAGGCAGCAGUAAGGAAUAUUGGUCAAUGGGCGCAAGCCUGAACCAGCCAUGCCGCGUGCAGGAAGACGGCCCUAUGGGUUGUAAACUGCUUUUAUCGGGGAAUAAACCUCAUUACGUGUAAUGAGUUGAAGGUACCCGAAGAAUAAGGAUCGGCUAACUCCGUGCCAGCAGCCGCGGUAAUACGGAGGACCCAAGCGUUAUCCGGAUUUAUUGGGUUUAAAGGGUGCGUAGGCGGUUUAUUAAGUCAGUGGUGAAAGCCCGGAGCUCAACUUCGGAACUGCCAUUGAUACUGAUAGACUUGAGUACAGAUGAAGUGGGCGGAAUGUGACAAGUAGCGGUGAAAUGCUUAGAUAUGUCACAGAACACCGAUUGCGAAGGCAGCUCACUAAAGUGUAACUGACGCUGAGGCACGAAAGCGUGGGGAUCAAACAGGAUUAGAUACCCUGGUAGUCCACGCCCUAAACGAUGAUUACUCGCUGUUAGCGAUAUACAGUUAGCGGCUAAGCGAAAGCGUUAAGUAAUCCACCUGGGGAGUACGGUCGCAAGAUUGAAACUCAAAGGAAUUGACGG
This 908-nucleotide ribosomal RNA is filed under the name uncultured soil bacterium. RNAcentral describes it as "bacterial SSU rRNA". It matches the Rfam family "Bacterial small subunit ribosomal RNA", at positions 8 to 916 of the family's 1533-position model. The record is from RNAcentral.